Molecule: non-coding RNA, 771 nt
Organism: Urocitellus parryii (Arctic ground squirrel)
Lineage: Eukaryota; Metazoa; Chordata; Mammalia; Rodentia; Sciuridae
Source: RefSeq, a predicted model, not a curated record
UUCAUCUCACCUUUUGGACAUGGGCUGAAGCCCUUAGACGUGGCCUUCAUGAAAGCCAUACACAACAAGGUGAACAUCGUGCCUGUCAUUGCGAAGGCCGACACUCUCACUCUGAAGGAGCGGGAGCGGUUGAAGAAGAGGAUUCUGGAUGAAAUUGAAGAACAUAACAUCAAAAUCUAUCACUUACCUGAUGCAGAGUCAGAUGAAGAUGAAGAUUUUAAAGAGCAGACAAGACUCCUCAAGGCCAGCAUCCCGUUCUCUGUGGUGGGGUCCAACCAGCUGAUCGAAGCCAAAGGCAAGAAGGUCCGAGGGCACCUCUACCCGUGGGGUGUGGUGGAGGUGGAGAACCCUGAGCACAACGACUUUCUGAAGCUGCGGACGAUGCUCAUCACUCACAUGCAGGACCUCCAGGAGGUGACCCAGGACCUUCACUAUGAAAACUUCCGUUCCGAGAGGCUCAAGAGAGGCGGCAGGAAAGUGGAGAACGAGGACAUGAAUAAAGAUCAGAUCUUGCUGGAAAAGGAAGCUGAACUCCGCCGUAUGCAAGAGAUGAUUGCGAGGAUGCAGGCGCAGAUGCAGAUGCAGAUGCAAGGCGGUGACGGGGACAGCGGGGCGCUCGGGCACCACGUGUGAGAAAACGCUCUUGGAUACAAAGAAGAACACAUUCCUGAUGAAUGCCACAUCGCAACUUUCCAUAAGAUCCUUAGAAGGGUGCCCAUCUACAUUUACAACACCUGUGCCUGAGAAUUUAAUUUUUUUAAACUAUUGGUG